ACUCUUCAGCAGACACAAGUUCUUCAGAUCUUCCUGUUUCACAGGGACUUUAAAGCGUCUUCCACACCUGUGGUAGAAGUCAUGACCCCACACCCAGGAGCACACUGGGGGCCUUGGGGUGACUGGGAAGAGGGUGGGCAGGGAGCACUUCCUGAUGCUCCUUUCCCCUGUAGCACAGCUUCCUGUGUACUAGGCAGCCUUAUGGCACUCCGUCUGCUUUUGUGGCCUCCUCUGAGGUGGGCAGAGGGCUCUGGGCCCUUCAGUGUGGAUGGGAGCCCGAAUGGGACAGGUGCUACCUCUGCUGCUCACUGCUAGAUUCAGGUCGUAAACAUGGGGACUGCACACAUCUAGAAGUGCUACAUCUGUCCUUUGCAGCUCAAAGGGCCUCCUUGUCUGUAUCCGCCUUUUUUAAGGUGAGCAGACUAGGCUGUGUCUCCCCCCCCCCCAACAAAUAUGGCUUCAUUUCAGAUGGUUCAUUUCCUUGGAUGUAGCUCCUGGCCUUUGGCUCAUAGACACUGAAAACCAAAGGAAUGUGCUUCCCACCUGCUCUUUUCUUUUUGUAUGCAUUAGGUUAAUCUGAAAAAUGGAUUUGUCCUCCCAUGGUAGUUUCUUGCCCUGUUCCAAUGAGGCAUUUUUUUCUGUCCCAUAGCUAAUGAAGCAGUCAUCCCUAGGCACCCAGCUAACCACUUCAAGGGCACACUUAGAUUAUCUAUUCCCAUGGUUCUUAACCAAGGAGUGCAUGUUGUCCUCUUCUGGCCAUCCCAGAAUGUUCUUAUCCUGAAACCUGCAGUCUCUACUAGAUCAAUCUGGAAUUCUAUCAGCUGUGUCAGUUGAUGGAGGGCAUUAUCUCAGUUCCAGAGAUCUAUACAAAAUGCAGUUCAACAGCAAAGCAAACAGACUGAAAAGAAUCAGGAGCUCCAGGGAUGAUAGGGGGUCCCAUAAGACGUUUCUCUUACCUUCCUGGUGGUAAAGUAUAUAUUUUCUGACAGCCCACAGACAGAAGUUGGAAAAGGAUAGAAGGGGCACCCUCUAAAGGUUCAUCAGAGUUUAACAAUCACAUCACACUGCUCCGAUGGUCCUUUAUAUAUGUUGUAACAGCCCAUUGUCAGUAGUUGCUCUGCAUUUUUAUAACCUUUUUGUCACUACACAGCAGUGGAGUUUGCUGUAGUCCUGAGCUUAGAUCCUUAGAUGACAGAUUGGGAUCAGGCUUCUCUACCGUGUAGUCUUCAGUAUGUUGUAUUACUACAGGACAACAGACACUUAGCCAUAGGUAACUGAUCAAUCGGAUUCCUAAAAUUUAAGAUUUCUGCUCAGCAAUAUACCAUUAAGAAAAUGAAAAGGCACAUCACAGAUUGGGAGUAAAUGCGUAUGCAUGUGUACUCAGAAUACGUAAAGAACUCUAACAACUCAAUAAUACAGAAGACAGCUUUUUUUUUUUUUUUUUUUUUUUUUUUUUUUUUAAUGGGCAAGAGAUUUGAACCACUAUCCCACUGAAGCACAGAAAUGGUCACUAUAAAGAGGUACUCAUCAUCAGACAUCAGGGAAGUGCUAGUUAAACCACAACCACAAGAAUAUCAAAAUAGAUAAAAUUAAAAAGUAACAAUACCAAGUGUUAGCAAGGACAUGGAGUAACGCAUUCUCAUUCAUUGCUAGUCGGAAUGUAAAACAGGAGAACCAUUUUGGAAAACUAGCAGAAUAGCAUGAAGUUAGGCAUACACUUACCCUAUAACCUAGAAAUUCAACUCCUAGAUAUUUACCCAAGAGAAAUUAAAGCAUUUAUCCACACAGAUGUGUAUAGAAAUGUUCACAGUUUUAUUUAUAAUAGACAAAACCUGGAGAAGAGAGAAAUACGGUUCAUUCAUUCAAUGGAGUAUGACUCAACAAUAAAAAGGUUUUUUUUGUUUUGUUUUGUUUUUUGUUUUUUUGGUUUUUUUUUUAAGUAGGCUCCACACCCCGCAUGAAGCCCAGUAUGGGGCUUGAACUCAUGGCCCUGAGAUUAAGACCUGAACUGAGAUCAAGAGUCAGCCAUUUAAACAAAUGAGCCACCCAGGUGCCCCCAAAAGGAAUUUUAAAUACAAAUAUGAAUUUCAAAACCAUGCUCUGUGAAAGAAAUUAAACAUAAAAAGGUAUGUAUGUACAUGAUUCAAUUUAUAUAAACUUCAACAAGAGGAAGUAAGCUAUGGUGGUAGAAAAAAAAAAAAAAAAAAAAAAAAAAAAA
This 2218-nucleotide long non-coding RNA is filed under the name Canis lupus familiaris (dog). RNAcentral's name for it is "lncRNA (ENSCAFG00845003941.1)". Lineage: Eukaryota; Metazoa; Chordata; Mammalia; Carnivora; Canidae. The record is from RNAcentral.